CACAUGCAAGUCGAGCGGAGUGUGGUGCUUGCACAAUCACUUAGCGGCGGACGGGUGAGUAAUACUUAGGAAUCUGCCUAUUAGUGGGGGACAAGAUCUCGAAAGGGAUGCUUACCGCAUACGUCCUACGGGAGAAAGCAGGGGAUCUUUAUGACCUUGCGCUAAUAGAUAGCCUAAGUCGGAUUAGCUAGUUGCU
This 196-nucleotide ribosomal RNA is filed under the name uncultured Acinetobacter sp. RNAcentral describes it as "partial 16S ribosomal RNA". It matches the Rfam family "Bacterial small subunit ribosomal RNA", at positions 52 to 253 of the family's 1533-position model. The record is from RNAcentral. Lineage: Bacteria; Pseudomonadati; Pseudomonadota; Gammaproteobacteria; Moraxellales; Moraxellaceae.